CCCAAUGGAAGACAUCACAUGGUGAGCCAGUUUUAUUCAAACGAAGUGCCAUGAAAAAGGAGCUAAAAGUUUGGUUACACUUUGUAGCAACACGGUUACUCCCUUCCACUCAUAUCAGUGGUGUCAUAAGGGAUCGUGUAGUGCUUAUUUAUGCCAUUGUCACACACAAAUCCAUUGAUGUUGGUAAGGUUAUCUCUCAUGGCAUCUUACAUACGGUUCGUACUAAACGAGAUGGUAUCGGUUUGCCUUCCUUGAUCACUGCAUUAUGUGCUAGAGCUGGUGUGUAAUGGAGUGAUAAAGAGGAGCUACAACAACCAAAAAUUCCCAUCACCAUGGGCAUUCUUAAGAGAUUAGAGGAAUCUGCACCAGCCGCUGGUAGUUCUUCCCCAACUGCUCCCCCACCUUCACAAGCGGCUCCUAUGCGUAGUGUUGCUCAAUGGAUGAAGUGCAUCGAUCGUAGAUUAGAUAGUCAUGAACGCCAAAAUCAAGCGAUCGAACAAAUGAUGAGGGCUUAUGUCGAAUACAUUGGGACGGAUAUGACUACUUUUCCUUCGUUGCCUACGGAUUCUGACUUUGAGGACAAUUUUAGUGGUGAUGAUGUGGAGGACAUGUAGAGUGCAGUUUCAAAGUUAGGGGAAUAUUCUUGUCCUUUUUCUUUUACUUUCUUUUAUCACAUUAAGGACAAUGUUUAUUCCAAGUUUGGGGGAGUGGUUUAUAAUUUUGUUAGUUUAUUUUUUUAGUUGGCUUUAUUUAAGAUAUGUUUUGCAUAUUUAUGUUUUGCAUGUUUUAUUGUGUUUUAAAAAAAAUUGAGAUAGUUGCACCAAAUUCAUGAUUGUCCCAAUCCUAGGAUGAUAAUUUAAUUAUCUUUUGAUUCUUAGCUUUUGGGAAGAAUAUAGUUAUGAUUUCAUUUUAUGUGAUAUUCUUGUGUUAGUUUUAUUUUAGAAUGUGACUUCCAAUAAUUUGAGCACUAUACUAUUUUACUUAGAAUUUUUGUGUGAUUUAGAGAAAUUUUAUGUUGAUGAAAAAGUAUAAUGAAGUCAAGAAUUCUAAAAUUUGUUUGAUUCUCUCUUGAGGCGAAAUCUUAGAUAACACUUAGGAUAGGAAGUGAUUUAGGCCAUAUUUAGAUUGUUUGAGCCUUUUUGAGCCUACCUUGUUAUAUUUAUCCUUAGUCAUCCUUUUUUGAGCCUAAUUUACCUUUUCUUUGUAAUUACACAAUUAUAUUAGCCUUGACCUGUCUAUUUAAAUCCAGCGAUUUGAAUAUUUCACCUUCUAAGUAUUUUAAUCUUUCUAAUGAAUGAUUUGAGUCUAAGAAUAAAUUGAGGGAGAAAGGUGAAAAAAAAAACAAAAAAGAAGUGAUGGUUGUUAGGAAAAUGACCCCUAGUUUAUAAUUGUCAAAAAUAAGUUUGGGAGUUAAAAAAAAAGGAAAAGAAAAGAAAAAAAAAGAAAUAAAGUAUGUUGUACAAAGAAAAGUUUACUCCAAGUUUGGGGGUGCUAUUACAAAAGAAAUUGAAUUGAGCUCUUUAUAUGUCUUAGAUUGAUUAAUUGCUUAGGGUAAAUUUUAGCCUAAAUAUAUCUUUUAUCAUACCUUGACCCUAGCCUUACAUUACAAGCUUGAUAAAGACCUACUGAUCCUUGAAUAAGUGUUAAUCUACAUUAGUAGAGAGAGAGAUGAAAAGCAAACUUAUGGGAUCCUAGUACUAAUCUAUGCUUAGAUGUGGCAUAAACUAAUCCGAAUUGCAUGAUAUUCUUUGUAAGAGAGCAUUCACACACACACACACGCACACGGGAAGUCCAUUCAAAAAGUAAGUUUUCACUUGAAUUGAUGCAUGAAUUUAAGGAUUAGCUGUAUGUUACCUUAAGUUGGAAUUUGAGUUAAUUUCUGAGGAAAAAUUAGGAAAUCAUAAUUUGGUAUUUCUAUCUCUUGUUCAAGGUUUUUUCUUUUUUAUGUUCAGUUUUCAUUUUGUGAUUCUUUUUUACUCGAGAACUAGCAAAAGUUUAAGUUUGAGGGUGUGAUCUUUCUAUUUUAUAGAAUUAUUUUAGUCCAAUUUUGGUAUUAAAUAUUAGCUAAGUUCUCAAUUUUCAAUUAUAAUUUAUUUAUUUAUAGUUGUUUUUAUAAUUAGUUUAUUUUUUAAUGAGUUAUUUUAAUUUUAUGUUAUUCUUUUUAAUUUGAUUAUUAUUUAUUAGUUUUUUUAUAUUUUUUGUAGUAAUAAAAGAAUGGGGUUUGAUUUUGGAAAGUGAGAUGUUGAAAGACCUGAAAGUCUGCUUGUAUAUUUUAGCCAUAACUCAAGCUACAGAACUCCAAAUGAUGAGAUUCUUAGAUCAUUGGAAAGAUAAGAGAUAGAGCUACAACUUUUAUGAAUAUUACUUUAACCAGUUCUUCCUAGAAGAUAGGGAAAAUUAUGUUGGAAAAUGGCUAGAUGUACUGUGCCGGGAAUGGUAAUUUGUAAAGAUUGACAAUUGAUUUUUGGGCCUCUCAUUACACUUUUAAGCCCAAUUAAACCCUAGGUCAACUUAAGGAACUUUAGGUUAAGUUUAUUAGUAUAAAUAGGAUAUGUUUAACAACAUUAGAGAGACAACUUUUGGGAGAUUCAAGAAGCUAGGAGUUAAGGUUGAAACUUGGAGAUCAAGGCGACAAAUAUUGUUUUGUUUUCUUCCUUGGAUUUUAUUUUUCUUGUUACUCUCAAUGGUUGAAUUUAUUAUAAUGUUAUUUGUUUUUUGCAAUCAUGAGUAGCUAAUUUUCUUUUUCUAAGAUUGCAAUUGAACUCACAUGUAAUCUAGAUUUUUAAUCUCUUUCUUAUUUAUUUUCAAUGGGAACUAAAUUGUUUAUUCCAAUUUGUUCUUAAUGCAUUUAAUUGCUUGGCCACCAAUUAAAUUGAUUUAAGAAUCUAAACAAACUUGGGAAAGGGAGUUUAGAGUAUACUAAAAUUGGGAUAGCAUAUGAUUAUAUCAAUUGAUUUGCGUAUAGGAUUGGGAUAUAUCUAUAGGCCAUAUGUAGCCAGAUUAGAGCCUAAACUUAAUGAGUCUGUUUUAAUUUUAAUUCACUUAGGGAUAUAGUGGUUUGGUUAAAAUCGAUAUUUUUAUAAUAUGAGUCGGGAGACCCUUAUAAAUAAUUUAGGACUCUAGAUUAGCAAUUCAACCCGUUGAAAUAAAUUAAGGAAGAAGAGUAAGAUUUAGAUGAAGUGUGAGGGAUAUUGUAAUCUUAGGCUUGUUUGAUUUGAUAUUUUCUUAAGUUAUUAUUAUUUUGAUUUUUCUUGUUGGUUAAAAUUUUAGUUAAUUAGUUUUAGUUAAUUAAUUAAUUUUGAGUGUUUGGAUAAGAUUAAAUUGUUUUAAUUUUAGUACUUAGUAAAAUUUUAAAUCAAUUCUUUGUGGGAUUGAUACUUUACUUGCUUAUAUGCUAUCUAUUCGAUACGUAUACUUGCAUAGUAGAAUUUUAACUGAUAGGCCUCACCAUUUUUCAUCAAGUUUCCAUGCCACUUCAAUAUUGGUCUUAUGCCUUUGGUGUUGCUAUCUACCUAUUGAACUGAUUACCUUAUUUAGUUCUAGUUGAUAAAAGUCUUUAUGAAAGUUUUUUUAAACAACAACCAAAUUACCAUAAAUUGAAAGUGUUUGAUUGUCUCUAUUAUUCAUGGUUAAAACUAUAUUGCAAGUAUAAACUUGAUAGAAAAUCCAAACCUUGUGUCUUAACAGGGUAUUCCAAACACUAGGGUGCUUACUUAUGCCUAGAUCCCGUCACUUACAAGAUAUUUACAUCAAGACAUGUUUUAUUUGAUGAGCCUUAGUUUCCUUUCUCUGAUGUCAAACAUAUUAAUAAGAAUCUAUCUAACACUUCUCUUGUUUCUUUAAUAGAUUCUUUCCUAUUUUUGUGCCUUAUUUUGUUUGUCCAACAAGUUCUGCACCAACUCCAUCAUCAAUACUAGUUCACAUUACUUUUCCACAAGUUGCAAACUCGUGUUCUCAGUCUUCUUCAUCAUCCCUAUUAACUCAAGUAUCCUUUUCAUCUCAACCUUCACUUUUGAGCUUAACUAACAUUGUUUCAAAUCCUAUUCCAUAAAGAACUCAUCCUAUAGUUACUAGGUCACAAAACAAUAUCUUUAAACCUAAACAAAUAAACAUGAUUACUAAACAUUCCUUUCCUUAGAUAUUGAACCUUCUUGUGCCACUCAUGUAAUUAAAGAUCCUUAGUGGAAGUAGGCAAUGCUUGAAGAACUCAAGACUUUGAAUGCAAAUGGUACUUGGGAAUUUGUUUCUCCUCUGUCAACAACUUGUGAUAAAGUGCAAAUGGAUCUUCAAAAUCAAAAGACAUCUUGAUAGUUUAAUUUCCCGAUUUAAAGUCAUAUUAGUGGCCAAUGGUUUUAAUCAAAGGCCUAGAUUUGAUUACAUUGAAACCUUCAACCUAGUUGUCAAACUAGUCACAAUCAGAUUAGUAUUAUGCUUGGCAUUAUCUAAACAAUGGCCCCUCCAUCAAUUAGAUGUCAAUAAUGCUUCCUUUCAAGGUGAUCUCACUAAAAAAGUAUAAAUGAACCAACCUCCUGCUCUUGCAGACAAAACACACCCUCAUUAUGUUUGCAAGUUAAAGAAGCCAUUUAUGGGUUCAAACUAGCUACUAGAGUGUGGUAGAUAGUUCUUGACUCAUUUCUACUGUCUUAUGGCUUUUAGAAUUCAAUUGCUAACACCUCACUAUUUAUCUUCCACAAAGAUUAUGUUAAUAUUUUUAUGCUAGUAUAUGUUGACAAUAUAAUUCUAAAAGGUAAUGACAAUUAUUUUCUACCACAAUUUGUUCAAGCCUUGUUAGAUAGGUUUUCUUUUAAAGACUUGGGUAGAUUGAAAUACUUUUGGGUGUUGAAGUUAUUCCUUAUUCCCAAUUUCUGAAACCUUAGAUUUUUAUAUACGUGUAUGGUAGUGUAAUAGUGGUGACCUAGGGUAAGGGUAUAUUUGUCCUUUUUCUUGGUGAGUUUCAGCAAAUAUUUUAAUAUAUUAUUUCUAUGAAAAAUCUCUUGUAUACUUUUGUUAAAUCAAAUUGGAGAUUUAAAAGAGAAAAAUAUGUGAGAGAAAUGUAAACUUUUUGCUAAAGGCAAUUUCAUCAUUUUUACUUGGUGAGCUCCAUCAAGCAUACUAAAUCCAAAAUUUUGGGAGAUAUUUUUUCGAAAACUCAUCUUAUAAUUUAUUAAAUUCAUUUGGAGAAUAAAAAAAAAGAAAUUACAAAAACUAGCGUGCUGCCUAUAUGUUGCGCUUGGGAUGAGCUAAACAUAGAAUUUUUGUUUUUAACUGUAGUAUACGAUACUUGGAGAAAUAGACUAAUGGUACUUUAAUCAACAUAUAUAAUAGUCGUCGGAGGUUUCAAUUGUAGAAAAUAUUUUGUUGCAAAAUAUACCACUAAUUAUAUCUGUAGGCAUUUUAGUGGUUUGCUAAUAAGUUUCUUUGUAAAAAGUAGAUCAAAAGCUUGUAAUUGUGUGGUGGAUAUUUAACAAUAUGGAUGCAAGAUUGCUGCCUUCAUACAAAAAGGAGAAGGCAUUUUCAUCUGCAAUUGUAAAAAUAACAAAAAUUGAAAAAUAGGCUUAUAGUAAACUUAGUGAUUUUUUACAUUUGUUUCUUGGAUAAUAUGUCAAAUUGUAAUUAAAAAAUUGUAGUUUGUAGGUUAAAAUAAACAAAUGAAAUAAUGUGUGAAUGUAAUGAUGACAUUGUGGUAUAAAUUUUUUAAUAUGUUUUCCAAAAAGAUAUUGUAAGAAUGGUAGAUGAAUUGGAGAAAAACAAUUAUUAUAUAAUAAUAAAGUGAAUGUGAAAGUUGUAUAAAUUAAUAGAAUUUUACACAAAAUAGUAAAAGUACAAUGCAUUAUACACACACACACACAAACCAUUAACAGAACAAAUAUAAUAUUUGAAGGUGUGUAUGAACAUCCAAUUAACAAUAUCCAAGGAAAAAUAAUAAUAUCAAUAUGAUAAGAAAUUUGAAGUAGUCAAGGAUUAUGCCAAUCAAAAAUUUAUGUUGGCAAUAAAAACAGAACAAAAAUUAGGUUUGAAGAGUAAAAAAAAAAAACAACACACACACACACACAAGGGUAUAUGGGAAUGUGCUGCUAUUUGCAACUGUUCCAUUAUAAAACCAUUCUAAAAACCUUGAGACUUAAAAUUGUAAUAAGAUUUUGAACCUCAAUUAUUUGAAUCAGUCUUAUCUAGGGAACAAAACAACAAUAAAUAAAGGACAAUAGUCGAACUAACAAACCCACAGAAACCCUAUAACCAACAAACCCAAAUCCAAAUGAAAAACCCCAUAAAAAUCCCUAACAGCCGAACCAAGUCGACUUAAAAUUAAAUGCAAAAGCUGAAACUAAAAUUACGAAGUCAGACAUGAGAAGAAAAAAAUCUAGAAGUGAUUGGCCGCGGGAAACAUGAAGAAAUGCGAGAAGAAAAUAAGCAUAUAAGCCCUAAAAAUAAAAGAGCAAAACUUUAAUACACCCUUAGCUAAAAUAAAAAAAAAAAACCCAAUCAAAUAAAAAAAAUAGACAAAAACCUAAGGUUAAGCCCAAAAGCCCAAAGCUUAGACAAAAGAAAACAAUAGCCAACUUAACAGAAACAAAAGCUCCAAAAUCAAGCAAAAGCUCGAAACCCAAACCCCACUAACCUUAAGCCAGACAGUCCACGUCUCAAGCCAAAAACCUUCCCAUGUGUCAAGCUAGGAGCUCUUUGAGGCUUACUUUUACUAUUGUUAUAGAUGGAUGAUUUUUUUGGACAAAAAGACUAAAUGGUAACUUUACCAUUUGACAUUUUCUUGUUUCUUUUCUUCACCAACCUGAGGCUUUCUUUAAGAAAACCUUGCACUCAUGUUUGUUUUUCAUUUUUUUUCCUUCCAUUGUUCUUCCUUUAUUCUUUCUUUCAUCUCCAUUGACAAAAAAAAAAAAAAGUUCAACAGCCUUGUUCUUCUUCCUCCAAGAACCAAACUCUUUAUGGUGAGAGAAAGUUUCUCGCUCUUUCAUUUUUUUGCUCGUUUCUUCACAAUCUUCAUGUGCCAAGGUUCUAACUUCAAAUCUUUAAUUUUAAGACUAUGUCAAGGUAAGGAUUUUCAUAUUUUAGCUUCUUUAUUCAUGGGUUUCAACUUUAAAAUAUUUUCUCUAAUUUUUAGAUUUUAUUAUUUUUUUAAAGUUUAGGUUUUGAGUUUGGUUUUUUACCGCGAGUUCACCAAGGUAAGAAAAAUAUGAAUUUAGACUAUUUAUAGUAUAGGUUUAUCAUUUGGAAAAAAAAAUUAGAGGUUGACUUUAGGUUUUGAAGAAAAUGUGCUAAGGUUUUAUUUGCAUAGUAGAGUAAAUCCAAGAAUUGGUGAAAUAAUUGAAGAUAUUGAUGUUGAAUGUGGACCAUUUAUGUUAUGGGCUUCGAAAUAUGUAAAUGUUAAUAAAAGAAACCUAGGUCUAGAAAGAUAUUAGUGAAAAGUUGUUGGGAUGUUAGUUAAAUUCUUAAGUUUGGUAGAAUUUACUAUGGUUUGAUUUUGCAUUUGAAUUACCUUAGGUUUCAUUGAAGCUCCAAGGUUUAACUAGCUAAAGGAGCUUUAAUAGUGGUGUUGAUAUUGAAUAUGUCAAAAAGGUGAAUGGGUUUGUGUUGUUCAAUUUUCUGUCCACACAAGUAUAUGUAUCGCAAAGAUAAUAUAGUGAUAAGUAAAGUGUCGAUCCCACAGAGAAUUGAAUUAAUUCUUACUGUUAACUACUAAAAUUAACAUAUCAUAAUUUUAUCUAACAAUUAAAAUUAAAACUAAUAAACUAAUAACUAAAACUAAUAUAAAAUAUAUCAGCAAAAUUAUUUUAUUAACUUCUAGUGAUUACCAGACUUAAGAUUAUGAUAUCCUUCAAUACUUCUUCUAUCACGACCUGGUACUCCCCUCGAGCCCGUGACAACCGUCGCGGUGUCCCGAUCGACACUUAUUACCUAGAAUGUCAACCGGAACCCCGUAAGGUUUUAAUAUCAAUUUCUCAUUUUCCUUGUGAGUAACCAUUUUCAAAUAUCAUGUUCUAAAAGAUUUUAAGCUAUUUCCAACUUAAAUCAAUAAAAAAAAUUAUUUCUGUCUCACAGGGACAUUUUGGUCAUUUUUUCUCGAAAAUCACGAAACCAGCUAAAAAUGUAGUAUGUGAGUGGAAAACACAUAUUUCAUAAUCAAAAAUAAGUUUAGAUGUCUAAAACAUUCAUUUAAAAUGAAAUUAUGACUAUUUGAAUAUAAUAAAAAUAUUCAAUAAAAUAUUCUAUUUUCUUAUAAAAUAAUAUUUAUAGAGUUACUGGUAAAUAAUUUUUGUAGCGUAAAAGCUAAAUAAAUUCAUACAUACUGUAAUACAGAUAACCAAAGUAUAAAAUUUAAUUUACAGUGACACGUGAGCCCACGAACGACCAAAAGUAUCAAAAGCUGAAAACUUACAGUUUUUGAGGAUGCAAGUCCAACUGUAGCCCUCAACGAAAUGAGUUAUCUACCGACUAUCCUGAGCCUGAAAUGGGUGGAAAGGAAGGUGGUGAGAUUAUAUAAUCCUAGUGAGUAAACAAAUUUCAUCUAAAGUAUCUAAAGUCGAGUAAAUGGAGACAAAUUAAAAUAGAUCAUCAUACUGUAAUUCAUCACUUUUCAACUCAUUUCAACCAAAUAAAAUCAAUUCAUAUAAAUCAAGUAAUCAACAUGGCUUAUGAACUUCUUAAAACUUUGGCUCAUGCCAAAAUCAUUCUUAUACUUAGUUAUCAGGGAUACCUUGGCCUAGGGCUAUCCCAACUGAGUUCGCCAAGGCUAUUAAAAAGUCAUGUACGCAUAAAUCAUGUUUUUAUUUUGAAAACAUAGCCGUUUCUUAGAGUUGCCUGAAUUCACCCUCACGUGGUGGUUUGGCGUGAAGUGAACUCUAAAGUUGUACCUCGGGAGUUACCUUACACACCUCUCCGACCGAGGUAAGAAUAUAAUGGGGUUACCGUGCCUCUCUAAUAGGUUGGUCCACGGAACCUGCCUACUGUAGUAAGCUAAACCCACCAUACGAUAAAAUUUACAAUAGCGUGACAUGGCAAUUAUAUCACAAUCCAAUCUCUCAAGGCUAAAUACACAGUUCAUAUAUUUCAACACAAAUACCAAUUUAGCCAUUCAUGCAAAUAUUGUCAUAAGCCAUUCGAUUCAAACCAUGAAUUUACAACACAUGAAAACAAUCUCUAAUUACUCUAUUUUCAAACCAUCAUUUCAUUUCAAGACAAUGUUAUAAAAUCAUUUAAUUAAAUCACAUUUUAAUUACAAAACACAAGGAUUUACCAUUUAACUCAUUUUCCAUAAAAUCACAAAAUCGGAUAAAAACCACUUUAGAUAAUUAAGAUGAUAGUAAGGUUACUCACUGUAAUGGGAAUCGAAUUUUGAGUGCUCCGAUUCUUGAUCCUCGGGUACUAUCUCUUUACUUUUGCUAAAAAGCUCACCACCUAUAUACAAUACAUGACACAUAAUUCAAUAUAUUGUGUCAUACCAUUAUAAAUCUAUUUCAGGCUCUUUACUAAUGUAUGAAAUGGGAUGUGAAACGCUCGGGUAACUAUCUAAAUAUGGUGUUCAAUAUAAAUUCAAUUAUGUUCCUAAAUAAAAUGGUAUUGGCCUAAUUUGAUCUAUCACCUGAUUAAUUGCCCAAUACGUCCAAUUUAACCCCAAUUAACUCCAUUUUUCUUCCAAUUCCCCAAACCAUCAAACACAAGUCAAAUAACAUAAAAUUUAACAAAAUCAUCCUCACAUUUCUU
This 9717-nucleotide long non-coding RNA is filed under the name Theobroma cacao (cacao). RNAcentral describes it as "long non-coding RNA (TCAC_LNC000807)". Lineage: Eukaryota; Viridiplantae; Streptophyta; Magnoliopsida; Malvales; Malvaceae. The record is from RNAcentral.